UCUUUUCUUUUGAUAAGAGAGUUUUUAAAACCAGUGUUAUUUUUGUAAGUUUAAGAGAAGUUUGUGUAUUGAAUUUUUUAUUUUUAAUAUUAAAGAGCUUUGUUAAACUUAGACUUAAGUUUAGGUCAUUUUGGGGGUUUAGCUCAGUUGGCUAGAGCAUCGGCUUUGCAAGCCGAGGGUCAAGGGUUCGAGUCCCUUAACCUCCAUUGGGCUUAUGUCCUAAAUUGUAAUUAAGUAUGUUUUUAAGCAACUUUAUUAAAGUAAUUGUUGGAAUGUGAAACAGAGAAAGUUAAAAUUUCUGGGUUAAGUUGAGAUCUGUUGAUAUUAAGAAGAAUCUCUAGAAGCAAAAGCAAGCUUUCGAUAAAACCCGAAGUUGUUUCGCUAAAGUGCAAGGAUUAAACAGGAUUGUAUUUUCCAGCAGCCUAUUUUAUAAACGAUCUGCAUUUAGUAAAUAGUUUUUAGUUAAGAAAUAAUGUAGAUUGCUAAGUGUGAUGUC
Molecule: unclassified non-coding RNA, 496 nt
Filed under: Borreliella burgdorferi (Lyme disease spirochete)
Lineage: Bacteria; Pseudomonadati; Spirochaetota; Spirochaetia; Spirochaetales; Borreliaceae
Description: partial 16S-23S ribosomal RNA intergenic spacer
Rfam family: tRNA (bases 133-206)
Source: RNAcentral